UUUCCGUAGGUGAACCUGCGGAAGGAUCAUUAUCGUACAAAAGGUGAGGGGCAUGCGAGGGCUGUCGCUGACCCACAAGUCGUGCACGCCCGAGUGUGUCCUCUUGCAUAAUAAUCCAUCUCACCCUUUGUGCAUCACCGCGUGGGCACCCUUCGGGAUCAUCUCGGGGGGGGGCUCGCGCUUUCACACAAACCCCCCCUUUUAAAAGUGUAGCAUGACCACAUUUAUGCAAUCAAUACAACUUUCAACAACGGAUCUCUUGGCUCUC
RNAcentral lists this unclassified non-coding RNA (268 nucleotides) under plant metagenome. RNAcentral describes it as "partial contains small subunit ribosomal RNA, internal transcribed spacer 1, and 5.8S ribosomal RNA". The record is from RNAcentral.